This 1071-nucleotide long non-coding RNA is filed under the name Pocillopora damicornis (cauliflower coral). RNAcentral's name for it is "uncharacterized LOC113683640, transcript variant X2". The record is from RNAcentral. Lineage: Eukaryota; Metazoa; Cnidaria; Anthozoa; Scleractinia; Pocilloporidae.
GACUCAGUAGUGUCGGAUUCCCGGGGGAAGCCUUACGGCUGCAUCCUAUAAAGGAAAGAAUGACGAAGCAAAGGCGAAGUGAAACCAAAGCUUAAAAUUGACUUCUCUGAUGCGAUCUUGUUUGACUGAAGAACGACGUUGACCAUUAGCACCCGUAACGACAGUAUCUUCCUAAUCAUUACAGCCUUUCUCAAGAUCUAGCCACAAAUAUACAGCUUUCUCUUCAUCUUCCUGCUUCCCACCGUAAAGCAAAGGCUGACACCAAGGUUCAAAGCGUUCGAAGUUCAGGAUCGAUCGAUCCAACGAAGUGUUUACCUCUUUAAGAUGUAAACGUGGGUCAUGAGAUGGGUUCCCACACACCAACUCAUCCCCUACAGGCCUAGAAGAAUGUAGGUCAUGGAGGACACAUGUUUACCUCUUCAAGACUGGAAAUUUGAUCAUGAGAUGUGAUCCCAUCCACCAACUCAUCCCCCAUAGGCCUUGAAGAAUGUAGAUCAUGAAGAACACAGUAAGUACAAAUGCCAUGUAAAUUAUAAUUUUAGAAAUUAAAACUAUCAGAUUAAUAAUUUUACACCAUAAGCUUCCUUAUACUUGUAGUAACAGUUAAGUUAUACUAAGCCAGGACAUAUUAAGCAUACAAAUGCAAGGGUUAACUAAAAUUGUGGGAUAUCUGAAAUUUGUUCAAAAUGGGAUUCUACAUUAAUAUAAUUGGUAAUAAUCUGUGUUGAAUGAAACAACUUUUGAAAUAGCAUGGAAUGAUUGCUGUGAAUCCUCAAAUAGGCUGCUCCAUGAAUGAGAAAUCUGCAUACUAGGAUAAAAUUUAACUGUAGACCUCCCUCCCUGCCCUUUACUUGAUUUUAAAAUGAUGUAUUGCAGUCAAAUCUGUGUUAAGCAGUCACCCUUGGGGAAUGGGUCAGGGUGACUGAUUAAUACAGGUUUACCGCUAAAUACAGGUUCCACAAAAGAGGGGUGAUAUAAGAAAUGAUAAAAAUUGCCAAAGUUGACCACUUCAUGUACAAAUAAUAUGCAUGAAAAAUUACUCAGUUCUGGUUGGUGAAGAUAAAUGCAGUU